UNCCUAACUGUGCAAAGGUAGCAUAAUCAUUAGUCUUUUAAUUGAAGGCUGGAAUGAAUGGUUGAAUGAAAUAUUAACUGUUUCAAUUUAAUUAAUUAUAGAAUUUUAUUUUUUAGUUAAAAAGCUAAAAUAAAUUUAAAAGACGAGAAGACCCUAUAAAUCUUUAUAAAUUUAUUGUAUUAUUAANUAUAUAGAUUAAUUAAUUUUUAAUAUAUUAAUUUAUUUUAUUGGGGUGAUAUUGAAAUUUGUAAAACUUUUAAUUGUAAGUUAACAUAGAUUAAUGAUUUAUNUGAUCCAUUUNNUAAUGAUUAGAAAAUUAAGUUACUUUAGGGAUAACAGCAGUAAUUUUUUUAGAGAGUUCAUAUUGAUAAAAAAGAUUGCGACCUCGAUGUUGGAUUAAGAUAUAA
RNAcentral lists this ribosomal RNA (407 nucleotides) under Dohrniphora denticotyla. Its description in RNAcentral is "partial 16S ribosomal RNA". Lineage: Eukaryota; Metazoa; Arthropoda; Insecta; Diptera; Phoridae. The record is from RNAcentral.